Molecule: transfer RNA, 67 nt
Filed under: Monomia gladiator
Lineage: Eukaryota; Metazoa; Arthropoda; Malacostraca; Decapoda; Portunidae
Description: tRNA-Asp
Source: RNAcentral
AAGAUAUUAGUUAAGAAUAUAAUAUUAACUUGUCAUGUUAAAGUCAUCUAUUUCUAGAUAUUUCUUG